UGCAUAUCCCAAAAGCGGAGGAAAAGAAACUAACAAGGAUUCCCCUAGUAACUGCGAGUGAAGCGGGAAAAGCUCAAAUUUAAAAUCUGGUGGUCUUUGGCCAUCCGAGUUGUAAUCUAGAGAAGUGUUAUCCGCGYUGGACCGUGUACAAGUCCCCUGGAAUGGGGCGUCAUAGAGGGUGAGAAUCCCGUCUUUGACACGGACUACCAGGGCUUUGUGAUGCACUCUCAAAGAGUCGAGUUGUUUGGGAAUGCAGCUCAAAAUGGGUGGUAAAUUCCAUCUAAAGCUAAAUAUUGGCGAGAGACCGAUAGCGAACAAGUACCGUGAGGGAAAGAUGAAAAGAACUUUGGAAAGAGAGUUAAACAGUACGUGAAAUUGUUGAAAGGGAAACGCUUGAAGUCAGUCGCGUCUGCCAGGGAUCAACCUUACUUUUGUGAGGCGUACUUCCUGGUUGAUGGGUCAGCAUCAGUUUUGGUCGCUGGAYAAAGGUCAGAGAAAUGUGGCACCUUCGGGUGUGUUAUAGUCUUUGAUCAGAUACAGUGGCUGGGACUGAGGAACUCAGCGCCGCAAGGCUGUCUUAGGAUGCUGGCAAAAUGGCUUUAAUCGACCCGUCUUGAAACACGGACCAAAGGGAGUCA
This 638-nucleotide ribosomal RNA is filed under the name Pleurotus populinus. Its description in RNAcentral is "LSU rRNA". It matches the Rfam family "Eukaryotic large subunit ribosomal RNA", at positions 37 to 678 of the family's 3401-position model. RNAcentral also lists the same sequence under 1 other name. The record is from RNAcentral. Lineage: Eukaryota; Fungi; Basidiomycota; Agaricomycetes; Agaricales; Pleurotaceae.